CCUACGGGAGGCAGCAGUGGGGAAUAUUGGGCAAUGGACGCAACUCUGACCCAGCAACGCCGCGUGAAUGAUGAAGGUCUUCGGAUUGUAAAGUUCUGUGAUGGGGGAUGAACACAAUGACGGUACCCCACUAGCAAGUCACGGCUAACCUCGUGACAGCAGCCGUGGUAAUACGUAGGGGGCAAGCGUUAUCCGUAAUGAUUGGGCGGAAAGGGUGCGUAGGGGGUUUAGUAAGUUGGCGGUGUAAUGUCGGGUCUCAACCUCGGCGCUACCGCCAAAACUAUUAGACUAGAGUGCAGGAGGGGGAAGUGGAAUUCCAAGUGUAGCGGUGGAAUGCGUAGAUAUAAGGAGGAACAUCAGUGGCGAAGGCGACUUACUGGACUGUAACUGACGCUGAGGCACGAAAGCGUGGGGAGCAAACAGGAUUAGAUACCCGUGUAGUC
Molecule: ribosomal RNA, 443 nt
Filed under: uncultured bacterium
Lineage: Bacteria
Description: partial 16S ribosomal RNA
Rfam family: Bacterial small subunit ribosomal RNA
Source: RNAcentral